GAUGAACGCUAGCGGCAGGCCUAACACAUGCAAGUCGAGGGAGAGGUUAUCUUCGGGUAACCAAAACCGGCGCACGGGUGCGUAACGCGUAUACAAUCUGCCUUUCACAUAGGGAUAGCCCGAAGAAAUUUGGAUUAAUACCUAAUGGUAUAUAGGAGCGGCAUCGUUUUUAUAUUAAAGCUACGGUGGUGAAAGAUGAGUAUGCGCUCUAUUAGCUAGUUGGAGAGGUAACGGCUCCCCAAGGCGACGAUAGAUAGGGGUUCUGAGAGGGAUGUCCCCCACACUGGUACUGAGAUACGGACCAGACUCCUACGGGAGGCAGCAGUGAGGAAUAUUGGACAAUGGUCGGAAGACUGAUCCAGCCAUGCCGCGUGCAGGAUGAAGGUCCUAUGGAUUGUAAACUGCUUUUGUAAGGGAAGAAUAAGGAGUACGUGUACUUUGAUGACGGUACCUUACGAAUAAGCAUCGGCUAACUCCGUGCCAGCAGCCGCGGUAAUACGGAGGAUGCGAGCGUUAUCCGGAAUCAUUGGGUUUAAAGGGUCCGUAGGCGGGCUGAUAAGUCAGAGGUGAAAGCGCUUAGCUCAACUAAGCAACUGCCUUUGAAACUGUCAGUCUUGAAUGAUUGUGAAGUAGUUGGAAUGUGUAGUGUAGCGGUGAAAUGCUUAGAUAUUACACAGAACACCGAUAGCGAAGGCAUAUUACUAACAAUUUAUUGACGCUGAUGGACGAAAGCGUGGGGAGCGAACAGG
RNAcentral lists this ribosomal RNA (749 nucleotides) under uncultured Capnocytophaga sp. Its description in RNAcentral is "bacterial SSU rRNA". It matches the Rfam family "Bacterial small subunit ribosomal RNA", at positions 28 to 776 of the family's 1533-position model. The record is from RNAcentral. Lineage: Bacteria; Pseudomonadati; Bacteroidota; Flavobacteriia; Flavobacteriales; Flavobacteriaceae.